Vicia faba (fava bean) is the source of this 207-nucleotide non-coding RNA. The record is from the annotation of a GenBank genome assembly. Lineage: Eukaryota; Viridiplantae; Streptophyta; Magnoliopsida; Fabales; Fabaceae.
AUGAAGAAUGUGAAGAAGAUGGUCUUGCUGACUUUUGAUUGUUUUAUGCUUUCAUUUCUUGCGUCCAUAUUUUGUAAAAUAGAGAGACGUUAUUUAAAACAAUUAUUAGCAGCAUAUAGAAACUAUCAGAGGUUGAAUGCCAUUUUCUCUCAUAUGUUUCAACAUUGCAUAGUUGAAUUUGUAAAUAAUCCCUUUGUUGUGAAAUAG